Long non-coding RNA from Bombus terrestris (buff-tailed bumblebee), 5733 nucleotides. RefSeq lists it as uncharacterized. The record is from RefSeq and is a predicted model, not a curated record. The transcript is spliced from 2 exons. NCBI's taxonomy places the organism in Eukaryota, Metazoa, Arthropoda, Insecta, Hymenoptera, Apidae.
UCUCCUUUUAUAGAAUUUUCAUUUUUGUUUCUGAUCGCUGAACGGUUUACAUAGGCAUAUGUACAUUUUGCGAUUAUAAGCUUGAGACCACUCCCUCUCGAGCAGAGCGUAAAUUGUUUCGUGGAAAUUCACUGAUUGGCAGGUGAGGUCUGUUGUAUAGAUAAAAUGUUCUAGUUUGUGCGGCAAGAAGUCGUUUAUGGGAUAUUAUUUCAUCCGUUGUAACAACGAUUACUAUUUCUCGUUUUAAUUUACCUUUUGUAUUUUAAUCUUAUUUUCUUCCUUAAUUUUUCGAAACUUAAAAAUGAGUAUAAAGAAAUUGAUGCAAAAUCCGCGCUCAAUUCUUGCCGUUUGUUAAAUGAUUUUCAGAAAUGUUACAAUUACGAGAAAAAUAUACGAAAUUGGGAGGACAUUACAUAAAAUACAAAAAUCUUAGGACCAAUUCUAUGAUCACAUUUAAUCACACGAUAAUUACUAUUAACAGCAAUGAAACAAAUAAAAACGUAAUGUUAACAAUAAAAUCGAUGUGCUUGGUGAACUUUCAUUCAUUACAGCUUCUGAGAGUUAACAUCUAUUUAUUCUUACAUUUACAAUUUAGAACUCGAAUUCGAAAUAAAUUGCGAAACUGCGAAACUUGGAUGCUUUAACCUUUGUGUUCCACAAUUAGCAUUGCUGUUUGUUGACCGAGGGAGAUCGAACGUUUUCCAGAAAGAGGAGCUCACUGACGUGCGGCGAUCCGUCAGAGAGGACGAAUUGUUGAAUCGCCGCCAAGAAGGAAGCGUUUUGCAAAAUCUUACAAAUUAACUUGCGUACACAUUCUCAAAGCAAAUACAUAGUCGAGGACCAGGGAGAAGAAAGUCAGAAAUUGCAGAAGAAAAAUACAUGUAAGUACAUUUUUGUUGAAUUUCUAAUUUUAUCUCGACAGGAGAAGAAAGUUGAAGAUUACGGAGGACGAACAUACGUAAGUACAUUUUUGUUGAAUUUCUAAUUUUAAUUCGAUAGAGGAAGUUUAACAUGACAAUUGAAAAUGAAAAUAACCUGUUACGUAUAAGCAUGUCAAUCCCUAAAAAAUAGUUAACAGAUUGGCAAAGUUUUAUGUAAGCCAAAAGCAUAAUUAUUAAGAGGAGUAAUAUUUCAAUAAUUUUAACGCUGUAACAUCGUGAUUAGACUGCCUAUGCUUAUGCAAAUUUAUAUUUUUAUGGACACAGCUAAAGAAAUACCGCUUAAGCAAUUCCUAAUUUACUCUGCAAAAAUUCCUAAUUUAACAUCCAACGAGCGAUGUUCAACAAAUUUUCAAAUCAAUACAAAAACACCUAUCUCACUCUCUUCAAAAUCAAAUACAAAGAGAAUUUUAUUAACGUGAAAUUGAUCGUCGAUCGAUCGAAUCUUGAAACUGGUUUCCUGUAAAAGAAAAAAGAAAAAGAAAUGGGAAAUGCGAGUAAUCAUGUUCUCCUGUGAUCUUCGGUUGAAAAGGAACGUUCUCACCUGUGUUUUUUAUGGCAACGUAACGAAGUGGGCUGUUUCUGAGUUGAAACUAUCGCGGAUAGAAGGCCCGGCGCGCGCCAUGAUCGACCGAGAUGAUAGAUCGUUUCUAGAAAGUACUCUAGCAUACACGCAUCACGCAAUCGUAUCAAAUCUAUGAAAGUCCACCUACAUGUAGGCUGUACACGUACGAUUCGCCGUUUCACCUCAAGCAGUGAAACCCGAGACGCUGUCCUUUCGAGCUGCAUUUAUGCGCCGUGAUUAAACGUGAACUAGAUACACACCUUGCGGCAAAACAAUCCAUGUUCUUUCUCUUUUGUAAUGUUAGAGACGCUUAUUAGUAUAGAACCUAUCGUACGUAUCGAUUGUAUUCUUAUUGGAAGUUGGAUGGAAUGUUAUAUGUUUGGUAGAAAUACAAAGCAGAAAGUUAAGAAUUAGGAGUAUCACGUGGUUUUUGCCAGAUUACGAGCAGUUUUAUUUUGCACAUCGUAAAUGAAAGACGAUGAAGAUGACAGAAAAGAUAAACGGAGUAUGUAGAAAUUAGAAAGAAAAUGUUACGUUAAUUAUUUUCGCGUUAAUUAACUUCCAAUGUCACUUUGGAGCGCUUUUCGAUUUUGGAAUAGAUAUUCGUGGUAUAGUGUUGAAGUGCGUGUGAAUAAACUAAUAAAAAAGAUAAAGAAAGUAUAAUAUAGCGAUUAAAACACGAAUUUAUGUUAAUUAUAAACGUCCAAGAUAAUUUUGAGGAGAAACUCUUUUUAGUACGUUUUAUUAAAAAGCACGUGCAUAUAAAUUAGUUCAGUUUAUCAUAGCAUUGAUUUUUUAUUAAUUAUAAAACGACCUUUAGAAAUUGGCAGCGAUUGAAUAUCUUACUCUUAGAAGAAAUAAGUAAAUGUAUGUAAAUUAUUUCUUUAAACAGAACAAAUAUAAUGAAUGCUUAAUUCCUUAUAUAACUCUAAUAUGGAAUUCCAAAUUUAAUUCACUAUCUAAUAUUUCACAAAAUAUUUCAAAAUACCAGAAUACCAUAUACCGAACACCAUAAAUAUACCAUACAGUAUAAUACCAAAAAUAAGAUAUCCAUAAUAGUCAAUUACAUUUCGUGAAAUUGACAUGCUGGAUUUCAAAAUCAACGUAGGUACAGAUUAACACAGCAUCUGUUUCGAAAAGAACAUGGGGACUGUCACCACGCGAGUUUCUUACAAUUAGUAUUUUUCUGCGUGACACUUAAGAUAUUCAUGAUAUAUAAGCUGCACGCUUCUCGGUGAGAGGAAAUGUCAAUACAGAAACAUGGUGGCAACGAUUUACGUCAGCGGAGAAACGAGCAUAUGAUUUCGGCGAUCCGUCAUCUGAGAAACAAGUGCAUUCUUGAUAUACUUGUAUCCACGGAAUUCGUGUCAUGUAAUUGGAACGGAAACGAGUAGGCGUAUAUUAAUCGAUGGACAUCAGUUGGUUCGUAUUAUCUUGCCACGCAUCCUCAGUAAUCUAAUACUAGCCGACGAAAAUCUACAUUUCAAAUGAUACGAAGUUUAAGAUUAUUAAAUAGAUUCGCUACGUUUGCAAAUUUUUCAAGUAUUUGACACGUUUCGUAUGCUACUACUUCGUGCAAUGUAUCGAAUACAUCGAUCAAACUCCAAAGGCCCACCAAAGACCUACGUCACGUAAAUACCUCCAUCACCAAUUCCUCUUUCCAGAUCUCAAAAAAAAAUCCAUCUUCUGAAGCUGAUCGAAGCUCCAGUAUCCCACUCCUACAAAAUACAAAACACCCCAGUAGAACUCCGGUAGAACUCCAUCUAUCUGAACUUAAACAGUUUACAUAAUUGUGCUUCAUACGAUAGAAAUUCACCAAUGGUUUUUCCUUCGUGUAAUAAGGAUUCAUAUUCCGGUAAACGAAUUCAAUCGACAAACGUUCAAUCGACUUAAAAUUCAAACGAUUAAACCGAUAACUACAGUUCUACCGAGUAUCGAGUACAUCACUGAAAGUCAAAAUAAAAAAAAAAAAAAAAAUGGAAAAGAAGAAUAAGGGGAUCGUUACAGUGGCAUAAAAAUGCAGCGUUCGCCAAGAAUUGGCCAGCGCUAGAGCUGCACGCGGUGACUGCAAUAUGCACGCAGCGAUGAUACGCGGCGCGCGACAAUUUACGUUACCGGGCAAACUAGUGGAUGAUUUAAGCGGACCCUGUGUGUCGGCUUGGCUUAAACAACAACAGCUGCGUAUCCGCGGCGCACGCGACCAGUGACUCGCAGCGUCGGAUCGCACAGCCGAUGAAAAACCUUCUAUUAGCGGUUUGGCCAUCGUUCGGCCCGCGUUAUCCUCUGAUACAUUAAUGACGCGUCAAGUCAGCGCAUGACAACGCGGCUACCCUCUGGCGCAGAGGUCCAUCCUCGAUCCUCUCUUCGCCUUCCCUCUUUGUCCGUCUCUCAACCAUCCUACACUUUCUAUCGUCGUCUAUCUAACAGUUUACCUUCUAUCCUCUUCUAUUCACCGGUUCAGCCAGUUCAAGCGUCUUUGUCGCGCUCUGGUGUGGCUCUUCUCUGUCUCACCCCGUCUAUCUCGCCCCACCCCCGCCACCCACUCUCUAACCCCUCUGUGCGAACUCUCUGCUACCGGGCUCUGUGAGGAGAUCAAUAGGGAUCCUACACCCCGUUCCUCCGCCGACGUGCCAGAGGAGGACAAAGGUACCACUACUCCUGGCUCUCUGAUGUUCCAACGCUUCCACGCACGUGCCUAUCCACGAUACUCGCGACUCGUCUACGCGUCGUUCCGCGAGUUUUACGCCAGCAGGAAUAAAAAAGACGCGGGCGCACUCACGUGGAAGAGGGAACGUCGAGUGGGGAUCGCGGGUUAAAGGAUCAAGGAUGCGAGAUCUAGGAUCGGGAGUCUGGGUGACUGGUAAUGAAGUUUGGCCUCGGUUGCGUUUGAUAGGCUUUUAUGACGGUGGCCAGAGAUUUAGAUAAGUGUGGAAUUGUGGAUAUGAUUAUUCUGUAAUGGAUACAUUGGUAUUGGUAUUGUACGUGAGUUGGCCAACGUUACGUAACACACCUCACGCGGAUUGUGGGAUUUUAUUAACAAAUUUCGAAAAGUAGAUAAUUUAUCCUGUAAAGAAGUUUAGAGAGUCGAUCAGUAAACUGUGGAUUUUUAUGCAUUUAAGAGUGAUUUAAAGGUGUGAUAACGUACAAGAUAUAAAGCGUAACGUAUAAAUCAGCGAAUCGUUAAACGAAUCAUUAAAAAUAUUUUACGAUCUGGUAGAAAGUAUUCGAAAAUACUGUUAAAGGAAUUUCUAUUCUAGUUCUACUUCUUUAGCUGUGUUCAUAAAAAUAUGAAUUUGCAUGAACAUCCACAGUCUGGUAAUCCAAUAGCUUAGCGUAGAUUGGUUUAAUUCGGGGCUAUCGUUGAUGCGACAUAUGAUUUUCGUUUCGUAAUUUGUAUUUUAUACGAUAGAGCCAGUUAAUGCCUUUAUCGUGUAACAUAGUCCAAAUGUAACUCAAACUGUUGUAGUUACCUGUCCCGACGAUACUACGCUAGUGUUGAGAGUUCAUUUGUUUCGUAUAAUGUAACGUAAUUAUUAUAACAUUUAUUAUGAAUAGGCAGCGGAGUGUGUACUUUGGAUCUUAAUUUGUAUUGUAUAACACAGUCGCUACGUAUAGCGUAACUGUUAACAUACAUUAUGUAUGUGUAGUUAAAAUUGUGAGAUCAGCUAUAAAUAAUGUUGUUACUUCUAUGUACGUACUAUUUUCAUAUUGUACUACCACUUGUAUAAUGUAUGUGGCUAUCUGAAUGUGUAAUUUAUUGUUUCAAUGAGAAUAUUGUUACUCGUAUAUUUAACGUAAUAUCAAUCAUUUUGAUAUUAACUUUGUCCCAAUGUCUUUUGGAAAAUUUUAAUACUUCGCUUUACAAGAAAAUUUCGUAGACGAAUGGGGAGAUAUUUGUCUAAUACACAAGCUUUCAUCGAGAUUUAUAAUUAAAGACUUACACAAUUACAUGUGAUUAAAUUCGAUAUAUAGAAUGGAAUAUACCAAUAGUAAAUAAUAUGAGUAAUUUCUUGUGUUUAUUCAUUUCGUUUUAUUAUAAUUGUAUGGAUAUAUUAAUUGUAGAAGCGUAAGUGUUUUGAUCGAAGCAUUGAUCGAAUUCUAUUCCAACAGCUAGGAAUUACGUAGUUUAUUGAGGUCGAAUUCGAUACAGUAUAAUACCGUAACAAUGUACACUUCCUGAGUUUUCAAACAGAGGAGAAAAUAGAGAUCUGCUACUUUCUAAAUAUCGUA